Molecule: ribosomal RNA, 461 nt
Filed under: uncultured soil bacterium
Lineage: Bacteria
Description: bacterial SSU rRNA
Rfam family: Bacterial small subunit ribosomal RNA
Source: RNAcentral
AGGACGAACGCUGGCGGCGUGCCUAAUGCAUGCAAGUCGUGCGCUCUCUCCUUCGGGAGAGGGAGCGGCGGACGGCUGAGUAGCGCGUGGGUCACCUGCCCCGAAGUGGGGGAUAACGCUCCGAAAGGAGUGCUAAUCCCGCAUAGUCCCUGCCUCGCGCAGGGUAAAGCCUUUACGGGCGCUUUGGGUGGGGCCUGCGUCCCAUUAGCUUGUUGGCGGGGUAAUAGCCCACCAAGGCAGUGAUGGGUGGCUGGUCUGAGAGGACGACCAGCCAGACUGGGACUGAGACACGGCCCAGACUCCUACGGGAGCAGCAGCAAGGAAUUUCCGCAAUGGGCGCAAGCCUGACGGAGCAACGCCGCGCGGAGGAUGACGGCUCUCGGGUUGUAAACUCCUUUUGUGGGGAUGACAUCGACAGUACCCCACGAACAAGCCCCGGCUAACUACGUGCCAGCAGCCGC